ACAGUAGCACAGAGAAGCUUGCUCUCGGGUGACGAGUGGGCGGACGGGUUGAGUAAUGUCUGGGAAACUGCCCGAUGGAGGGGGAUAACUACUGGAAACGGUAGCUAAUACCGCAUAACGUCGCAAGACCAAAGAGGGGGACCUUCGGGCCUCUUGCCAUCGGAUGUGCCCAGAUGGGAUUAGCUUGUAGGUGAGGUAACGGCUCACCUAGGCGACGAUCCCUAGCUGGUCUGAGAGGAUGACCAGCCACACUGGAACUGAGACACGGUCCAGACUCCUACGGGAGGCAGCAGUGGGGAAUAUUGCACAAUGGGCGCAAGCCUGAUGCAGCCAUGCCGCGUGUAUGAAGAAGGCCUUCGGGUUGUAAAGUACUUUCAGCGGGGAGGAAGGGAGUGAGGUUAAUAACCUUAUUCAUUGACGUUACCCGCAGAAGAAGCACCGGCUAACUCCGUGCCAGCAGCCGCGGUAAUACGGAGGGUGCAAGCGUUAAUCGGAAUUACUGGGCGUAAAGCGCACGCAGGCGGUCUGUCAAGUCGGAUGUGAAAUUCCCGGGCUCAACCUG
This 562-nucleotide ribosomal RNA is filed under the name Klebsiella oxytoca. Its description in RNAcentral is "bacterial SSU rRNA". It matches the Rfam family "Bacterial small subunit ribosomal RNA", at positions 67 to 616 of the family's 1533-position model. The record is from RNAcentral. Lineage: Bacteria; Pseudomonadati; Pseudomonadota; Gammaproteobacteria; Enterobacterales; Enterobacteriaceae.